Molecule: ribosomal RNA, 397 nt
Filed under: uncultured bacterium
Lineage: Bacteria
Description: bacterial SSU rRNA
Rfam family: Bacterial small subunit ribosomal RNA
Source: RNAcentral
AACGAACGCUGGCGGCGGGCCUCAUACAUGCAAGUCGAGCGCGAAAGUCCGCAAGGAUGAGUAAAGCGGCGCACGGGUGAGUAACACGUGGGUAAUCUACCUUUUUGGAUUGGAAUAACCUGUCGAAAGACGGGCUAAUGCCAAGUAAGUUCUUUGGAACGUGGAGUUUUGAAGAAGAAAGAUGGCGCAAGCUAUCGCCGAAAGAUGAGCCUGCGUCCCAUUAGUUAGUUGGUGGGGUAAUGGCUUACCAAGACAAUGAUGGGUACCUGGUCUGAGAGGAUGACCAGGCACACUGGAACUGAAACACGGUCCAGACUCCUACGGGAGGCAGCAGUAGGAAUAUUGCGCAAUGGACGAAAGUCUGACGCAGCCACGCCGCGUGAGUGAGGAAGGCCUU